GACGAACGCUGGCGGCGUGCUUAACACAUGCAAGUCGAACGGAAAGGCUCUGCUUUUGUGGGGUGCUCGAGUGGCGCACGGGUGAGUAACAUGUGAGUAACCUGCCCUUUACUUUGGGAUAUCUUCCGGAGACUCGGGCUAAUACCGGAUAUGUGCCCCUGCUGCAUGGUGGGGGUUGGAGAGUUUCGUCGGUUGGGGAUGGACUCGCGGCUUAUCAGCUUGUUGGUGGGGUAGUGGCUUACCAAGGCUUUGACGGGUAGCCGGCCUGAGAGGGUGACCGGCCACACUGGGACUGAGAUACGGCCCAGACUCCUACGGGAGGCAGCAGUGGGGAAUAUUGCACAAUGGGCGGAAGCCUGAUGCAGCAACGCCGCGUGAGGGAUGACGGCCUUCGGGUUGUAAACCGCUUUCGGCUGGGACGAAGCGAGAGUGACGGUAAGGGGUAAAGAAGCACCGGCUAACUACGUG
Molecule: ribosomal RNA, 468 nt
Filed under: uncultured bacterium
Lineage: Bacteria
Description: partial 16S ribosomal RNA
Rfam family: Bacterial small subunit ribosomal RNA
Source: RNAcentral